This 214-nucleotide ribosomal RNA is filed under the name uncultured Lactobacillus sp. RNAcentral's name for it is "partial 16S ribosomal RNA". It matches the Rfam family "Bacterial small subunit ribosomal RNA", at positions 148 to 355 of the family's 1533-position model. Lineage: Bacteria; Bacillati; Bacillota; Bacilli; Lactobacillales; Lactobacillaceae. The record is from RNAcentral.
ACCUAGGAAACAGAUGCUAAUACCGGAUACAACAGAUGAUGCCUAUCAACUGUUUAAAAGAUGGUUCUGCUAUCACUCUUGGAUGGACCUGCGGUGCAUUAGCUAGUUGGUAGGGUAACGGCCUACCAAGGCGAUGAUGCAUAGCCGAGUUGAGAGACUGAUCGGCCACAUUGGGACUGAGACACGGCCCAAACUCCUACGGGAGGCAGCAGCC